UAGGGAAUCUUCGGCAAUGGACGAAAGUCUGACCGAGCAACGCCGCGUGAGUGAAGAAGGUUUUCGGAUCGUAAAACUCUGUUGUUAGAGAAGAACAAGGACGUUAGUAACUGAACGUCCCCUGACGGUAUCUAACCAGAAAGCCACGGCUAACUACGUGCCAGCAGCCGCGGUAAUACGUAGGUGGCAAGCGUUGUCCGGAUUUAUUGGGCGUAAAGCGAGCGCAGGCGGUUUCUUAAGUCUGAUGUGAAAGCCCCCGGCUCAACCGGGGAGGGUCAUUGGGAACUGGGAGACUUGAGUGCAGAAGAGGGGAGUGGAAAUCCAUGUGGAGCGGUGAAAUGCGUAGAUAUAAGGAGGAACACCAGUGGCGAAGGCGGCUCUGUGGUCUGUAACUGACGCUGAGGCUCGAAAGCGUGGGGAGCAAACAGG
RNAcentral lists this ribosomal RNA (429 nucleotides) under Gemmatimonadota bacterium. RNAcentral's name for it is "Gemmatimonadetes bacterium partial 16S ribosomal RNA". It matches the Rfam family "Bacterial small subunit ribosomal RNA", at positions 355 to 776 of the family's 1533-position model. Lineage: Bacteria; Pseudomonadati; Gemmatimonadota. The record is from RNAcentral.